AUUGAACGCUGGCGGCAGGCCUAAUACAUGCAAGUCGAGCGGAUGAAGGGAGCUCGUUCCCGGAUUCAGUGGCCGACGGGCGGGUAAUUCACACGAAUCUGACCGGCAGUGGGGGAUAACGUCAGGUAACGGGAGCUAAUAUCGUACACGUUCAGAGGGAGAAAGUGGGGGAUCUACGGACAAAACGCUAUUAGCUGAGCCUAGGUCGGAUUAGCUAGUUGGUGGGGUAAAGGCCUACCAAGGCGACGAUCCGUAACUGGUCUGAGAGGAUGAUCAGUCACACUGGAACUGAGACACGGUCCAGACUCCUACGGGAGGCAGCAGUGGGGAAUAUUGGACAAAGGGCGAAAGCCUGAUGCAGCCAUGCCGCGUGUGUGAAGAAGGUCUUCGGAUUGUAAAGCACUUUAAGUUGGGAGGAAGGGCAGUAAGUUGAAACCUUGCUGUUUUGACGUUACCAACAGAGAAAGCACCGGCUAACUACGUG
Molecule: ribosomal RNA, 484 nt
Filed under: uncultured bacterium
Lineage: Bacteria
Description: partial 16S ribosomal RNA
Rfam family: Bacterial small subunit ribosomal RNA
Source: RNAcentral